GUUCUUAUAAAGAGGGAUCAUUGUACUCCAUCUCCAAUCCUCGAGCAUUUCCCCAACUUAAAAAUGCCAUUAAACAAUUCAGUCAACCACCUUAGACCAUCCUCUCCAGAAAACUUCCAAAAAUCUACAGAAAUCUCAUCAGGCCCCGUCGCCCUACCCCUUAGCAUCCUGUGAAUAGCCUCUUUGACCUUUUCUAUCUUAAAAUGUCUACAAUAACUAAAAUCAUGACACUCCUCUGAGUGCUCCAGCUUCUCUAACUCAAUAAACC
RNAcentral lists this long non-coding RNA (268 nucleotides) under Capsicum annuum. Its description in RNAcentral is "long non-coding RNA (CANN_LNC004938)". The record is from RNAcentral. Lineage: Eukaryota; Viridiplantae; Streptophyta; Magnoliopsida; Solanales; Solanaceae.